Molecule: small nuclear RNA, 107 nt
Organism: Suncus etruscus (white-toothed pygmy shrew)
Lineage: Eukaryota; Metazoa; Chordata; Mammalia; Eulipotyphla; Soricidae
Source: RefSeq, a predicted model, not a curated record
GUGCUUGCUUAGGCAGCACAUAUACUAAAAUUGGAAUGAUACAGAGAAGAUUAGAAUGGCCCCUGCGUAAGGAUGACACCUUUUGGUAUAAUAAAAUAAAUGUUAUA